UACGUAGGAUGCAAGCGUUGUCCGGAUUUACUGGGCGUAAAGCGCGCGCAGGCGGCUAGGUAAGUAGGGUGUGAAAUCUGUCGGCUCAACCGGGAGGGUGCACUUUAGACUGCUUUGCUUGAGGUCGGUAGAGGGGGGUGGAAUUGCUGGUGUAGCGGUGAAAUGCGUAGAGAUCAGCAGGAACACCCGUGGCGAAGGCGGCCCCCUGGGCCGUACCUGACGCUGAGGCGCGAAGGCUAGGGGAGCGAACGGG
This 253-nucleotide ribosomal RNA is filed under the name uncultured bacterium. RNAcentral describes it as "partial 16S ribosomal RNA". It matches the Rfam family "Bacterial small subunit ribosomal RNA", at positions 524 to 776 of the family's 1533-position model. The record is from RNAcentral.